UAACACAUGCAAGUCAAGGGGAAAGUAGAUUUCGGAUUUAUAAGUAUACUGGCGGACGGGUGAGUAACGCGUAGGCAACUGCCCUUAUGCAAGGGAUAACCCAUCGAAAGGUGGACUAAUACCUUAUACACAUUGAAUUCGCAUGGGAUUAAUGUCAAAGUUCGCUUUCGGGCGACCCAUAAGGAUGGGCCUGCGUUCCAUUAGUUAGUUGGUGAGGUAAAGGCUCCCAAGGCGACGAUGGAUAGCUGGUUUGAGAGAGUGAUCAGCCACACUGGACUGAGAUACGGCCCAGACUCCUACGGGAGGCAGCAGUGAGGAAUAUUGGCAAUGGGCGAAAGCCUGACGCAGCAACGCCGCGUGGGGGAUGAAUCUCAUGGAGUGUAAACCCCUGUAAGCAGGGACGAAAGGUUUAUAGUCGAAUAGCUAUAGAUUUGACGGUACCUGCAGAGUAAGCUCCGGCUAACUCCGUGCAGCAGCCGCGGUAAU
RNAcentral lists this ribosomal RNA (486 nucleotides) under uncultured bacterium. RNAcentral describes it as "bacterial SSU rRNA". It matches the Rfam family "Bacterial small subunit ribosomal RNA", at positions 49 to 524 of the family's 1533-position model. The record is from RNAcentral.